CUCCCCUUGGUGUAGUUGGUUCAUCACGUUCGACUGUAAUGGUUUCAUUGUCAUCGAAAGGCCUCUAGUUCGAUUCUGGAAGGGGAGA
This 88-nucleotide transfer RNA is filed under the name Colletotrichum caudatum. RNAcentral describes it as "tRNA-Tyr". The record is from RNAcentral. Lineage: Eukaryota; Fungi; Ascomycota; Sordariomycetes; Glomerellales; Glomerellaceae.